UUGGAAGGGCGGAGGGUCGCUCCCGGGGAAACUCGGGGGAGGAAAGUCCGAGCACCACAGGGCGCGAUGCCACGUAACCGGGCGGCGGCGAAAGCCGCGACGCGUCUGGAUACACGCGGGCAGGGAGGUCGCGAGACCUUCUGACGGACAGUGCCACAGAGAACAUACCGCCAACCGGCGCAAGCCGGCGGUAAGGGUGAAAAGGUGGGGUAAGAGCCCACCGCGCCGAGCGCAAGCAAGGCGGCAUGGAAAACCCCAUCGGGUGCAAGGCCAAAUAGGGGGCAAAUGAGGUGGCCCGCCUCGAGGUUGGAAACAACCAUGCUCCGGGUAAGGUCGCAGCAGAUAAAUGAUCCUCUCCGCACCGCGAGGUGCGCAGACAGAACUCGGCUUACAGCCCUUCCAAAAUC
This 407-nucleotide RNase P RNA is filed under the name Pedosphaera sp. RNAcentral's name for it is "RNase P RNA component class A". It matches the Rfam family "Bacterial RNase P class A". Rfam says of the family: Ribonuclease P (RNase P) is a ubiquitous endoribonuclease, found in archaea, bacteria and eukarya as well as chloroplasts and mitochondria. Its best characterised activity is the generation of mature 5'-ends of tRNAs by cleaving the 5'-leader elements of precursor-tRNAs. Lineage: Bacteria; Pseudomonadati; Verrucomicrobiota; Pedosphaerae; Pedosphaerales; Pedosphaeraceae. The record is from RNAcentral.